CAAGGCUUCAAAGCUCAAAAGUUACAAUGAUAUGCUUUGAUUAUUAGGUCUCGCUGGGACCUUGGUUCUCUUGUAUAUUCAUUGUCUUGAUCAAUAAUUUGUCUUUUCAAUUAGAGGUCAAACUUUAAUGGAUGCUAUGGAAACUGGUUGCUGUAUGGAGUACAUAUGGAUUGUUAAUAAAAUGAAUGAUUAAUAUGUUAUGUUUGUGAUAAACGUAUUGUCGGAAUAUUUUGAUGACAUUUGACAUAUUACUGAGAUAAAGG
RNAcentral lists this unclassified non-coding RNA (263 nucleotides) under Hevea brasiliensis (rubber tree). Lineage: Eukaryota; Viridiplantae; Streptophyta; Magnoliopsida; Malpighiales; Euphorbiaceae. The record is from RNAcentral.